GGAAGUUUAGGAACCAGCAAGUGAUUUCCACAAAUGUCAAUAGUAAGUACCGAUUUUUCAUUCAUCUGUCGUAAGACUGUGAGCUUUGACCUCCACUGAAAGCACAUUAAACAUCUCUAACUGGACAUCACUUGUCAGGAAGGGAAGCUGCAGAGAGUCACUACAAAAGCUUACUUCAGACCGAAGUGGAAGCAUGAAUUGGGUGUUCAAAAGAGGUUUCCUAUGAAAGCUUCUGAAGGUGUACCUCAUUUAUCAUCCCAAUCACACCAUAGAGGAAUGUCAUUUUGUCAGCACACAGUUUUAAAUCCUGAUCAUAGCCAAAACUCCUGAAGUCAGAGUAUGUAUUUGUACUCACCAGUGAAAUUAAAAUUGAGAACUAUUGCUGGUAUUAGAGGCCAUCACAAGCUGUUCGCUGACCAGUAAGAAAGACAGAUGAACCAUAUACCACUGAUCUCACUCAGAGGUUCUCCUGCUCCACAAUGAGGAAACUGAAUGGCCCUGCUAAAAUGUUGCUGCACACGAAUACAAGCCUUAUCUCCUGUUCACCUGGAGGCUUAUGGAGAUGCUGACAGUGUUCUGCUUGCUGGAUAGGGGAAGUUCUGUAUUGCUAAUCAUGCGUGUAAAGAAAAGGCAUAGCUGCAUCCUCCUUUAAGGUUUCUAUUUGUCUCAUGAUGAACUCCUUCCAUUAAGAAAGCAACUGCCUCCACACAGUUUGUCUAGUUUCAUUUAGUUAUGCGAGAUACGAUCAGAAGAUGUAGACACUGGAACAUUCUGGAAGUAAGAUGAUAAGGGAAAAGUGACAGUGAUUACUGGUGAUGACUGAAGUGCCUUAGAGCUGACAUACAUCUAUCCAAGUGCACACAGAAAUGGUGCUCUUCACAAAUAAAGAAUUUCCAAUGUCUUGAGAAAAAGGAGACUCUGAAAAGAGAGGAGAAAAAAGAAAAGAAAGGAAAGGAAAAGGAAGGAAAAGAGAAAAGAAGGAAAAGAGAAAAGAAGGAAAAGAGAAAGGAAGGGAAGGGAAGGGAAGGGAAGGGAAGGGAAGGGAAGGGAAGGGAAGGGAAGGGAAGGGAAG
Molecule: long non-coding RNA, 1072 nt
Filed under: Phasianus colchicus (ring-necked pheasant)
Lineage: Eukaryota; Metazoa; Chordata; Aves; Galliformes; Phasianidae
Description: lncRNA (ENSPCLG00000000148.1)
Source: RNAcentral